UUAAGUAUAGGAUUGAAAAAUAUAGUUCGUAUUAUGCUCAUUUAUUAACGAGUCGAAUAUGAAUUGGCUUGCGAACAGCAUGUUAGAUUAUCAGCCAGACUUCUGGUUGAAAAAUUGAAAGAAAAUUAGAAAAAUAGAAUCUUAAUGUAAUAAUUAAUUUAUAAAAUAUAGAGCUUUUUAUAUUUAGGAUGGUCUAUUAUCCAAAUAGUAAAAAUAUUCACUAUUAAUAUAAACAUCAAUAACUCAAAUCUAUCUAUUUUUAGAAUAUCAUUCAAUUUUAACCGUUCAUUUUAUACUCACUUGAUAAACUUUAUUAUAAUUUUGAAAAAUCAUGAAACUUAUUUUCUAGAAGUUUUGCAUGCUUAAAAUAAUAUUUAAUGGUGUGGAUAUCGUCAAUUCGGAAGCUCUAUCACCAAAAAAAUUUUAUGAGUACAAAUAGCUCUAUACUUAUAAGAGUAUUGUAUUCCUAUUAUAUAUAUAUAUAUAUAUAUAGCUAGGCUACUAUACUAUCGGUAGCACGGAGCGCUCCGUGCUACCAAGUUAUUUUCGGUAAUGCGGCUUCCAAAUCAACGAUCGGCUCCGUUAGAUUUGAUCUACACUAUUAAAAGUAUUUAGAAACUAAAUUUCAUAAUUUUUCGAUAUCAUUUACCUAUCAAACAAGUAGUCUAAAAUUGAACGGCUGAAAAUAAAAAUCUCAUAAAGAAUGAUGAUAAAAUAUUUAAAUUCAAUAUCAGAUAUACUGAUCUUACUCUAAAUAGUGAAAAGAAUUUUCUAUAAAAUUUCAUCGGAUUUGGAUUAUUUUACACUGUUAAACUCUCAAACACACCACAUCGGCCUUUAAAAUUAUCAAUUUUGAGAUCUUUUGAUCAGUAGUCAAAUUAUGUCGAAAAAAUCUGAAAUUUAGUUUCCAAAUACUUUCAAUAGUGUAGAUCAAGUCUAACUGAGCCGAUCGUCGAUUUGGAAGCCACAUCAUCGAAAACAACUUGGUAGCACGGAGUGCUCCGUGCUACUGAUAGUAUAGUAGCCGAACUCUAUAUAUAUAUAUAUAUAUAUAUAUAUAUAGAGAGAGAGAGAGAGAGAGAGAGAGAGAGAGAGAGAGAGUCCGGCUAUGGUGCUUGUAAAAGUACCAAGCAUUUCAUGCUUAUAAAUUUUUUACCAUUAGAUUUACGCCUUUAAUUAUUUUCACCCGUUAGAUUAUACUAUUCAACCAACCACUCAAUCAACCAUAGGGAGCUUGUAAAAUUACCAAGCAUUUGGUGCUUGUAAAUUUUUUACUGUUAGAUUUACGUUUUUAAUUAUUUUUACCCGUUAGAUUAUACUAUUCAACCAACCAUUCAAUCAACCGUAGGGGGCCCACAUCAUCCUAACCGCACAUUCCUUAAUCCAAGGGUUGAAAACUUACAAGCACGUACCAAUGACUUGAUACUUUUAAAAGCAUAGGAGCUCAAUUUUAUAUAUAUAUAUAUAUAUAUAUAUAUGAGCAGGACUGCUGUGCUCUCAGGAGCACGGAGGCCUUCGUGCUCCUGAGCCAUUUUCGAUGAUAGAAUUUUCGAAUCGACGAUCGGCUCCGUUAGAAUAUUUGAAGUUUUUAGAAAAUAAUUUUUACGAUUUUUUGAUAUCAUUUACCUAGUGAUUGAUAAGCGUUAAAAAUCAAUAAGUUUUAAUUGUUGAUAUCUGCCGUUUUCAAGUUUAACGGUAUAGAAAUAUUCAAAUCAGAUAAAAUUUUGAUACAAAAUUCUUUAUACUAUCUACAACAAGAUCAAUAUUUCUGAUCGAAAAUUUUAAUGCUUUAUCACUAUUUUUUAUUAAUUUUUUAUUUUCAGCCGUUAAAAAUUAUUGAUUUUGAAUCCUUUUGAUUACUAGGUAAAUGAUAUCNUGAUCUGUAAGUUUGAUUUUAUUCUUAUUACAAAAUUAGUUAGAUAUUAAUCACAAUCAGAUUUUCGUUGCGGUAUUUGUUCUAACAAUCUAAGGCGUAUUUUCAAUUUGAUUGUUGUUAAAAUCUAACGGAUGUUAAUCUGUAUUAAAUUAAUUUUAUACGUAUAUAAUUUGUUUGUUAAUUUGUUUGUUGGCAUUUAAAUAUAAUUUUUUUUUGGGAUUAGCACUUUAACCUAUAAUUGCAUAUUAUGUAAUUUCUUGUUUAAAUUACAUUUUAUUUGAUGAGUAUUUAAAAAAAAAAAAAAUUGCCUUUACUGUAGCUCUUUUGGGGAAAAAAAGAGGUACGGACAUUAUGGAUUAUUUAUAGUUUUCACUGUUUGUCUAUAUGUUAAAAAGAAAAAAGAAAAAAAAGGCUGUUUUGCUAGAAUAAUAAAUAUCUUUUUAAUCAAGUAUUUAAAAAAAAAAGUUCUGUACCUGCAUUGAUUUUUUUUUUAAAAAAAAGAAAUUUUUUUGCUACAGUGAAAUUAAUCUUUACUGUGUAUGGUUUUUUGAGUUGUUGCUACAGUAAAAGCUCUUUAAUGAAAGAAAAAAUUCUGCUGCAAAAUUAAUUUUAAACAAUUUUGCUCCAAGUGGGAUUUCAACCCACACUUUCUAAAAGCAUAGUUUUUAAGCGAGAUCACCUAACAAGCAGUACUAAUACUAUUGCAUUUUUUUUUAUUGUUGCUGUCACUGGAAACUCUAUUUGUUGGAUUUAAUAUCACAACUAUCUAACUUCUCAGCACGACUGAAUAUACAACAGCUAGCACAUAUUUAUUGUGAUAAUUUUGUUGAUUGUAUUUAAUAUUUUUAUACAUUACUUGCAAUAUAUUGUUUGCAAACAAAUUACCUAAUUAAAAUCAAAUAUUUUAAAAUUGUUUCUGCAAUCUAUUUGUUGUUGAACCGAAUUUUGUUAAACAUGAUUAAAUUUUAUAAUUUUUAAAUUUUUAGUAUAUUUCAGAACUUGUCGGGGUUACUCUUUUAUCAGUUUGAUAAAUUUUGAUAUUAUAAUUGCUCUCGUGAUUUUAUCCUAGUGUUCAUCUUGGAAACGAAUUUUGCAAAUUCUAAGAUUGGGAGGUAAAUUAUUUUGGGACAUAAAUUUAUUAGAUGGUUAUUUUCAUAAUAUUAUUUAUUUGAUUUUAUCAGAUCUGAACAGAACUUUGCAGAUUAUUUGACGAACGGCCUGAAUAGGACUAAGGUCCUGGAGUCAUCGAGGAGGAUGGGACUUGCCCAUAAUGGGCCUUCCUGCAGUGGGAACCCAACCUUUGUGAUAGGAGAUCCCUUGAAGAAGGUUCAAUAUGGUAAAAACAAGCUGUCAGGAUGGCCAAAGAGCACUUUCUACAAAUUUUAUAUAGGAGCUUUAGCUCCAAUCCCAUCCUUAUGGUGAGUAGUGCUCUGUGUAGUGGAUUAGGUUGAGCUGAGAGCUCUUAAUGGGAUCCAAGGCGAUAAUUUUCGCGAGAUGUGACUCUACACACAUCCCUGGAGGAAACCACCUAUAUAAGAGUAUCCGUAUGUGGCCGCGGCUAUGUGAUAUGGGCUAUCCAUAGAAACUCUUAUGAAAAAUCAAGGUACUGUGCAUGGCCAUUAACGCACAGACCCGCGGCGGAGAAUUCUGUACUGUGUGUGUGGUAGUUGAAGUCAGGGCCAAAGGAACGUAGUUCAAGACCUGGUUCACUCCGAUUCCUUCUGAUGGAAACUAUUUACACUAAGUGAGGUUAAGUCUCUUAAAGACACCUUACCCAUUGCAUAGUAUAAAACACCCAGUAAAUUUGAAUUUAAUUCGUAAUUUUAAAAUUUUGAGUUUUGUGGGGGAUUGUUGGUGAAAACUCAAAAUUUUGAGUUUGAAUUUAUUUUAUUUGCACUUUGAUGUUUUAUUAUUUAUUAUUUUAUUUAUUUAUUACUUUAAUUAUUUUAUUUUAUUUAAUUAUUUUAUUAUCUUUCUUAAUGAGAAAGAAACUAACGGAAUUUUUUCCGUUCCGUUUCUUUCGCGUUACGUUGGGCGGGUUCCGCUUCUUUCUCGUAAGAGAAAAAACGUAAAAUCCUCUUUCCUUUUUAGGUCUUUUUCCUUCUCUUCUUGCUCAAGAUAGAGCAGGCAGAAAAGAUUUUUGAUCAUUGGUUAAUCUCUAUCUAUUUAUUCUUUUAUCUUUCAUUUUUGAAAAUUCCCCUUAUCCACUGGGUGUUGAGAAUCUUCGUCAACCUCCUUCACGAUCGUGCUCGCAGGAGGAGGAAUUCCGGUCGUACCUUGGGGUGUUAUUUCCGGUUAAUCCCGCACGUAAGGACGGAAAUACGCCUUAGGGCAGUGCCUCGCACGCUUUCGGAUAAGAUCAAAUCGUUAUUUGGAUAUUUGCGUUGAUCUGUAAGUUUGAUUUUAUUCUUAUUACAAAAUUAGUUAGAUAUUAAUCACAAUCAGAUUUUCGUUGCGGUAUUUGUUCUAACAGAAUUAUUGUUCUCGUUUUAACGGCUUAUCCUGAGAGAACCAUUAAGGGUGAGAAUAAUAUAUAGAACUCACCCCAUUCUAGAACAGCGUUAUUUCAAUGCUGUUCCUUCCCCCCAUUUUAUACUUAUACUCGAAUCAAACAAAGCUUUAGAUUAAAAUUUAAUCAAUUUUAAUUACUCUAUUAGUUACCAACUGUUAAUAGGUCUACUAUUAAGUUCUUAAUUUAUUUACAAAUAUAAAAUGUUAGCUUUGAUGUGCUAAUAUAUUUUAAACUUAAUCAAACACUUUUAAAAUAACAUAUUUUAUUCUUAUAUAUAUAUAUAUAAGUAAAAUCAUAUUUGAUUGGUACAUACUUUUUCUAAUUUAAUGUGUUAAACUUUCUUGGAUAAUAAAUAAAAAAUCGAUAAAAUUUAAACUGGGAUGAUAUUUUUUGUUAUAUAUAUUUCAUGGCAUUUUAACAAUAGGGAACUUAAUUGAAAUAAAUAAUAAAGAUUAGAUCAUAGUUAGUUAAUUCGGAUUCGGCAAAAAUUCGGUACAGGUAUAUGUUGAUAAGUAAUCCAAUAUUUUUGUUUGGUUUAGAUUUAUUUCUGUCAAGUUUAUCCUUCCAACAAUAUAAUUCGGAUAAAAUUCGUCUUUUAAAUUUUAAAUUCGUUGAAAACUACGGCUAAAAAAUGGAUUCAUCAAUUAUUCGGAUACGUGAUUUAUACGGAUAUUAUACGUUCACCAAUUAAAAAUUCGAAAUAAAAAAUUCGGCUAUUAAAUUAAGUUUUUUUUUCCUCAAGAUUUAUACUAUUAGCAUAAAUAUUCAUAUUUCUUAAAAAUAUAAGAAUAAAUAGCUAUAAAAGUAAGCUAAUUAAGUAAAAAAUUCAUAAAGUGCAAUAUAUUCUUGUAUUUUUUGCUCAUUAUCCAAAUAUGCUUGUAUUUUUGGCUCAUUAUCCAAAAAAUUCGGGAUCUGACGAAUAUUAAUUUGGCUCAUUAUCCAAAUAUGCUUGUAUUUUUUCGUUUUGGGCCAGCCGGCGCGCGAAGCUGGCGAGCUGUGACGCCCCAACUUUCCAGGGGGUCACCCAUCCUAGGACUACUCCCGUCCUAGCACGCUUAACUCUCUUAACCUCUUGGGCCUUGCCAUCACCCAAAAUGCUUAAGCCGGGUUAAGAGUUUAGCCCUAUUAUAUCUUAUAUAUAGGACUAUCUGGGGUCUCACAAUCUCCCCUCCUUUAAGCCCUGACGUCCUCGUCAGGCUCAGACUCACAAGUACCAGGCGAUGUGAGACUCGUCUCGCUAGCCCGUCAUCCAGACCCUGACUCAGCCGAGACUCAUCUCACACUUCCGGCUGGUAAUUGGCUCUGAUACCAUCUGUGACGCCCCAACUUCCCAGGGGGUCACCCAUCCUAGGACUACUCCUGUCCUAGCACGCUUAACUCUCUUAACCUCUUGGACCUUGCCACCACCCAAAAUGCUUAAGCCGGGUUAAGAGUUUAGCCCUAUUAUAUCUUAUAUAUAGGACUAUCUGGGGUCUCACACGAGCGCUCGAGGGUGCGAGCUGCGAGCGCGUGAGGGUGCGUGCGGGAGCGCGCGUGGGAGCGCGCGGGCGCGGGCAGCGCGGGUGCGAGGCGUUUUUUUGGACCGAAUAAUUCGGAGUUCGCGUAUAAUACGCGAACAAGUAUUUUUUGCCAAAAGUACGCGUUUUUUCCCCAUUUUUUAGAAAAAUACGAAUUCGACCGUUUAAUUCGUUUUUUCAAAAAUUCAUGAAUAAUUUGCGAAUUAACUAACAUAGGAUUAGAUAUCUAAUUUAAGACCAAAAUAAAUGCGACUAGGUUGGAAACGAUAGACUAAUUAAAUCCAACUAACUAUAUAUAUAUAUAUAUAUAUAUAUAUAUAUAUAUAGAGAGAGAGAGAGAGAGAGAGAGAGAGAGAGAGAGAGAGAGAGAGAGAGAGCGCUAGGCUACUAUACUAUCGGUAGCACGGAGCGCUCCGUGCUACCAAGUUGUUUUCGAUGAUGCGGCUUCCAAAUCGACGAUCGGCUCCGUUAGAGUUGAUCUACACUAUUGAAAGUAUUUAUAAACUAAAUUUCAUAAUUUUUUGAUAUCAUUUACCUAUCAAACAAGUAGUCUAAAAUUGAACGGCUGAAAAUAAAAAUCUCAUAAAAAAUGAUGACAAAAGAUUUAAAUUCAAGAUCAGAUAUACUGAUCUUACUCUAAAUAGUGAAAAAAAUUUUCUAUAAAAUUUUCAUCGCAUUUGAAUUGUUUUACACCGUUAAACUCACAAACACACCACAUUGGCCAUUAAAAUUAUCAAUUUUGAGAUCUUUUGAUCACUAGUCAAAUGAUGUCGAAAAAAUUUAAAAUUUAGUUUCCAAAUACUUUCAAUAGUGUAGAUCAAGUCUAACAGAGCCGAUCGUCGAUUUGGAAGCCGCAUCAUCGAAAACAACUCGGUAGCACGGAGCGCUCCGUGCUACCGAUAGCAUAGUAGCCGGACUCUAUAGAGCUAGGCUACUAUACUAUCGGUAGCACGGAGAGCUAUAAUAUUAUUGAUAGAAAAAGAUUCUUUUUAUUAUUAAAUUUUUAGCUUUUGGAUUAAUUCUUUUUAUCAUUUCUAACCAUUGGAUUAAAUAUUAUAAUCCAAUGGGGACUACUCAACUCUAGAGGGACCACUCAAUCCUAAAAUUAAAAACUUAAUAGAAAAAAAAGCCUUUUGCUAUCUAUAACAGAAGAUCCCCC
Molecule: long non-coding RNA, 7064 nt
Filed under: Ananas comosus (pineapple)
Lineage: Eukaryota; Viridiplantae; Streptophyta; Magnoliopsida; Poales; Bromeliaceae
Description: long non-coding RNA (ACOM_LNC002268)
Source: RNAcentral